This 662-nucleotide small RNA is filed under the name Tuber himalayense. RNAcentral's name for it is "eukaryotic LSU rRNA". The stretch from base 243 to 396 matches the Rfam family "5.8S ribosomal RNA". The record is from RNAcentral. Lineage: Eukaryota; Fungi; Ascomycota; Pezizomycetes; Pezizales; Tuberaceae.
UCUUGGUCAUUUAGAGGAAGUAAAAGUCGUAACAAGGUUUCCGUAGGUGAACCUGCGGAAGGAUCAUUAUAAAUACUUUGGGAUACCAUUGUGUAUUCCUGAACACAAACCUCUCUGCGUAUUACCCCAUGUUGCUUCCACAGGUUAAGCUAUCAUGGUGGCACCUGUGGGAGAUCUUCACAUUAACAGAGUACUUGAUUAUGCUGUCUGAGCUGGCCAUGUGUCAGAUUUACUGAAGUAAAAACUUUCAACAACGGAUCUCUUGGCUCUCGCAUCGAUGAAGAACGCAGCGAAAUGCGAUAGGUAAUGUGAAUUGCAGAAUUCAGUGAAUCAUCGAAUCUUUGAACGCACAUUGCGCCCUUUGGUAUUCCUUAGGGCAUGCCUGUUCGAGCGUCACUACACACCUUAUCACAAUAUUUGUGGUCUUGGCAGGAGUGAAUUGCUGGUCUAUGGAAGUAUUCCAGCAGUACACAAUGCUAAAAAAUAUGGGAAGGUUACCAGAUAUGAACAACAGACUUUGUAAAUGGUUGUAGGACCUAGAUCAGUCACAAGUCAUGUCUGGUCCCUUACCUUAAGGACCCCCCAUCCUAGAUGAACUAUGGGUUGACCUCGGAUCAGGUAGGAAUACCCGCUGAACUUAAGCAUAUCAAUAAGCGGAGGAA